RNAcentral lists this unclassified non-coding RNA (159 nucleotides) under uncultured Helotiales. RNAcentral's name for it is "sequence contains ITS1". The record is from RNAcentral. Lineage: Eukaryota; Fungi; Ascomycota; Leotiomycetes; Helotiales.
CAGAGUUCAUGCCCUAACGGGUAGAUCUCCCACCCUUGAUAUUUAUACCUUUUGUUGCUUUGGCAGGCCGCCUUGGCCACCGGCUUCGGCUGGUGAGUGCCUGCCAGAGGACCCCAACUCUUGUUAUUUUAGUGUCGUCUGAGUACUAUAUAAUAGUUA